This 551-nucleotide ribosomal RNA is filed under the name uncultured Diversisporaceae. Its description in RNAcentral is "SSU rRNA". It matches the Rfam family "Eukaryotic small subunit ribosomal RNA", at positions 548 to 1098 of the family's 1831-position model. Lineage: Eukaryota; Fungi; Glomeromycota; Glomeromycetes; Diversisporales. The record is from RNAcentral.
UUGGAGGGCAAGUCUGGUGCCAGCAGCCGCGGUAAUUCCAGCUCCAAUAGCGUAUAUUAAAGUUGUUGCAGUUAAAAAGCUCGUAGUUGAACUUCGGGGUUUACCCAUUGGUCAGGCUUAAUUGUCUGUACUGGUGAGAUGAAUCUCUACCUUCUGAGGAACUUUCAUGCCAUUUAUUUGGUGUGAUGGGAAAUCAGGACUGUUACUUUGAAAAAAUUAGAGUGUUUAAAGCAGGCUAACGUCUGAAUAUAUUAGCAUGGAAUAAUGAAAUAGGACGGACUGAUUCUAUUUCGUUGGUUUCUAGGAUCACCGUAAUGAUUAAUAGGGAUAGUUGGGGGCAUUAGUAUUCAAUUGUCAGAGGUGAAAUUCUUGGAUUUAUUGAAGACUGACUACUGCGAAAGCAUUUGCCAAGGAUGUUUUCAUUAAUCAAGAACGAAAGUUAGGGGAUCGAAGACGAUCAGAUACCGUCGUAGUCUUAACCAUAAACUAUGCCGACUAGGGAUCGGACGAAGUUAAUUUUAUAAUGACGCGUUCGGCGCCUUACGGGAAAC